Molecule: unclassified non-coding RNA, 1421 nt
Filed under: Hevea brasiliensis (rubber tree)
Lineage: Eukaryota; Viridiplantae; Streptophyta; Magnoliopsida; Malpighiales; Euphorbiaceae
Source: RNAcentral
AUGUAAUUUAUUUAACCUCAAUUGUAAGAGAGAAGAUGACAGAGAUGAUAAUAAUGUUCUGAGUGUUUAUAAGCUUUUGUCACGACUCUUUGAGCAACCCCAGCUACAACAAGAAGAACAAGGAGGAGGAGAUUAAAGCUAAAUUCUACCAAUUCAUUCACACUGAUAUGUAAAGUAGAAAACAUUAAAUUAACAAUCACAUGACAAAUUAGAAAUAGCCUCCUUUUGCAUCCUAGCCACCAUCUCAUACACAGCAGCUGCAAUCUCAUUGACAGAAGUCAGUUGACACUCUUCUUCAACCUGCAGCCUCAAACAAUUAAAACACUCAAUGUUCCAUAUUAACAAUAAGCCUUCAGCAUUUCUAUAAGGGGAAAAAAUUAUAAUAAAAUGAUUGAACUAACCUUAACACUAAAAGAAUAGAGUACCAUUUGAUCAACACUUGUAACAUUUAGAUGAAGAAUACUAAGGCAAUGAGAGUACAACCCAACCACCAUCUUCAAUAGCUGUUUUGGGUGUCGUCUUGUUAGUAUUUUGAGAUUCGCAUGGCUUUCUAUCAUUGUCACUUCAACUUCUGCAGAGAUCGAUUGCCUCUUGGCCGCCAUUGAUGACUGAUCAUGAUCUUCUGCUGUUGUUGUUGAACGGGUUGAAUACUGAGGGAAGGUAAAAAAUUCUGAGAAGAGACGAGAAAAAUCACGAGUGUCUGAUGAUUCUUUCUUGAUUCUCUUGUGGCCUUCAAGGGAUUGCAGGAGUUGCUCUAGCUCCUUUACAAAGUUAAUGGCUCCCCCUACGAUUGAUGCCUGGUCUCCCCUUUGAACGUAAGAGGCAGGCAUCAUGGACCGAAGCACAGCAAGAUAGUCAUUCAUUUGUUUUCUCCGAUUGCGUUCCACGUUAAUGUGUGUCAUUCUCUGAUGCUCAACUUCUUUCUGGUUCUUGACACUUCUGCUACGUUUUCUCUUUCGCCGGCCACUAGUUCCGGCUGCAGAAAAUCCUCCGGUGAAAAAUCCAUCACCAGCGCAGUUUUCUUGAAAGGAAGAGUUUGUGUCGCUGUCUUUCACAUUAUUAGGCCCCAUUGAAAACGGUGAAGAAUCCCAGUGAUUUGAAUUGAAACCAGACAGAGUUUCAUUAUAAGCUUCUUCGUCUUCUCCAGCUCCUCCAAGAGAAGUGUAGAUAUCUCUGCAACCAAAACCAAAUAGGUCUUGUUGGAACACCACAGUUUCUAAGGCCAUUUUACCAACCAUAAACUUGUGGCUUUCUCAUCAUGGAGAAGUCACACAGCUUAUUUAUCUUAAAGGGCAAGUUGAUCAGUUAGUCCAACAAUAUUUGCAUUAUUUCUAUGCCAAAUUGCAUAAGAGAUUUUUUUGUACGUUGUGAGAGAGAGAGAGAAUUUAUGAGGAUAAAAUAUUACACAAGUGCACAAAAAU